GGCUGGAUAGACAGCAUGGUGCCCAGACUUGGUGACGCUCAGAAACCAACCCAAGACAAUGUAAAUCCUAUCCGCCCUCAUAAAAGGACAACACCAGGAUUUAAGGAUUACCACGGGGAACGUGACCUCCCCUUUGUCAUGUAUGUUUGUCAAGUGUUCGUCUAUGUUAUGUGUCAAACAUUAACAGAACGGGACAGGCUACCGUUCACCCCAACGCUUUGGCUAUCCCUCAACAAGAGAGAGAAGGACCAGAGCUCACCAGGAACCCAGGCCUACUGUUUGACGAAGGAAUACGUACUUUCUUUCCAACUCCAAUGUUGCAUGGAAAGCAGAAGCAGGAGAAGACGAGUAGAGAAACUGAGUAAACGAUGCAUUGACGACUGUAAGGCCUACUGAAUGAUAUCUACAGAGGUUGGAUGCGGAAGGUCACCAUUUAUGUUUUCUGCCCAUGCAUACAUAACGUGUAUAGACGAAGCACUCUUUCUCCCAUGUUUGCAUGAGUUUCAUAUAUCCCUUGUGUCAUAGAUUUAACCAUUUGAUGCUUGAAAUAGUCAUACACCUUAGCAUGGAAAAGGAGUGGCGCUAUGCUGUAGGAUUUAAAUCUUGACAUACAGAUAACUUAAACGAUACCUACAUUUGACAACAGGGAGCACGAUACAUUCACCCCAUGGCGUACAACAUCAGCUAUAUCAACCGAUGAUUUGGGUAUAAUACAUGAUGAUGGUUAUGGUGGGUGAAAUGGAACCUCAAAAAUGGAUCACUUCUCAGUGUCGGAGCAUCUUGCCAGAACUCGCUACGCCCAUAUAUGGCUUCGAUUCCACUUCCCCACCAAUAAAUACGUAAAGAUUUUAGUUCUAAAGUGUUGGACCCUCAAUUCACUUGCAUUGAGCAGGCUUGCAAAUUAAGAAACGGACAUCUUAAGAGCAAAAAUGUCCAGGUACUCUAUCAAAAACUUUCAUAAAAUCUAAUUGCAAAUUGAUCAGGAAGUACAUUUCCCAUUUAUGCGCUUGUAAGUCCCGUUCCCAUUGGUCACACCCCAUAGCGUAGUAGCAGUUAGUACAGGAAACAGUUAAGCCAUUUCCUUAGCGCAGCGAGACAUUGCAAUCACAGAAAAGCACUGUGAACAUGACACCCAGAACACUGACAGUUGUACCUGUGGUGAAGGUGUUCGUUAAGGCCUUUGCAGCUGGGUGUUUACCCUGCGGAUAACGGAUGAGGCAGAUGUGCUGCCACAGACACACCCAGCUGUAACAAAGGCACAAGCAAGUGAAUAUAAUGUAAGUAACAGACGUGUUAUAUUUGUAUUUUGUAGCCUGCUCAAUGCAACUGAAUGGAGGCUCAAAAGGAGCCUAGGUGAAACUAUAUAUUUUUUUUUAAAUGAACCUUUCCAUCUAUUUGAUGUUGAUGGUCGUGGAUUUUAAGCCAAAUAUAAGUUUGUGAAUGCCGCUUUGAUAUCCUUAACCAGAGAUCCGAGUGUGGUGCUGAACACACUUCUCCCCUUGAUUUAGAAUGUGUGCAUACAAUGUAUAAGUAGUGACGAGUAGGGACAUGUAGACAGUGACCACUAAGGUGACUACUGCAUGUGGCAACGUACAAUACAUUGUCUUAAUUACACUUAGAACCCCCAAAAAGUACAGGAAUCAACCAAAAUAUGGAAACACAUUAACCAUCCUGUUUACUCACUCACUCACUCACUCACUCACUCACUCACUCACUCACUCACUCACUCACUCACUCACUCACUCACUCUCUCUGCUGGUGUCCCAGUACAUGUAUGUAGGCAAUGUCAUGGCUUGAGGCAUAGACAUAGCGAGCAGAUUGUGUUUACCCAGGCAUUAAGAUGCACAUAAAGCUUAUGUAACUCUUCUUUUAAGGUCUUCACUGGACUUAUUUGGUCAUUUUCUGCAACUGUUCAAAAUAAAUGACACACUGCAACAAAUGUGUUAUUUAUGUUCAAUUAUAAUGUGAAUAACUGUAAGAAAAGUAUAUUCUAUUAAUAAAAUGUGAC
Long non-coding RNA from Gadus chalcogrammus (walleye pollock), 2008 nucleotides. RefSeq lists it as uncharacterized. NCBI's taxonomy places the organism in Eukaryota, Metazoa, Chordata, Actinopteri, Gadiformes, Gadidae. The transcript is spliced from 3 exons. The record is from RefSeq and is a predicted model, not a curated record.